UAAUACAUAAGUAACCUGCCCUAGACAGGGGGAGUAACUAUUGGAAACGAUAGCUAAGACCGCAUAGGUACGGACACUGCAUGGUGACCGUAUUAAAAGUGCCUCAAAGCACUGGUAGAGGAUGGACUUAUGGCGCAUUAGCUGGUUGGCGGGGUAACGGCCCACCAAGGCGACGAUGCGUAGCCGACCUGAGAAGGUGACCGGCCACACUGGGACUGAGACACGGCCCAG
Molecule: ribosomal RNA, 231 nt
Filed under: uncultured bacterium
Lineage: Bacteria
Description: partial 16S ribosomal RNA
Rfam family: Bacterial small subunit ribosomal RNA
Source: RNAcentral